CAUUAUACGGCGAACUGCGAAUGGCUCAUUAUAUAAGUUAUCGUUUAUUUGAUAGCACCUUUCUACUCGGAUAACUGUGGUAAUUCUAGAGCUAAUACGUGCUGAAAAUCCCGACUUCGGAAGGGCUGUAUUUAUUAGAUUAAAAACCAAUGCCCCUCGGGGCUUCUUGGUGAUUCAUGAUAACUUCUCGAAUCGCAUGGCCUUGCGCCGGCGAUGGUUCAUUCAAAUUUCUUCCCUAUCAACUUUCGAUGCGAGGGUAUUGUCCUCGCAUGGUUACAACGGGUAACGGAGGGUUAGGGCUCGACCCCGGAGAAGGAGCCUGAGAAACGGCUACUACAUCCAAGGAAGGCAGCAGGCGCGCAAAUUACCCAAUCCCGACACGGGGAGGUAGUGACAAUAAAUACUGAUACAGGGCUCUUUUGGGUCUUGUAAUCGGAAUGAGUACAACUUAAAUCCCUUAACGAGGAACAAUUGGAGGGCAAGUCUGGUGCCAGCAGCCGCGGUAAUUCCAGCUCCAAUAGCGUAUAUUAAAGUUGUUGUGGUUAAAAAGCUCGUAGUUGAACCUUGGGCCUGGCUACAAGGACCGCCUCACCGCGAGAUCUUUCCGUAGCCGGGUCUUUCCCGCUGUGGAACCCCAUGGCCUUCACUGGUUGUGGCGGGGAAACAGGACUUUUACUUUGAAAAAAUUAGAGUGCUCCAGGCAGGCCUAUGCUCGAAUACAUUAGCAUGGAAUAAUAAAAUAGGACGCGUGGUUCUAUUUUGUUGGUUUCUAGGACCGCCGUAAUGAUUAAUAGGGACAGUCGGGGGCAUCAGUAUUCAAUUGUCAGAGGUGAAAUUCUUGGAUCUAUUGAAGACUAACUACUGCGAAAGCAUUUGCCAAGGAUGUUUUCAUUGAUAAGGAACGAAAGUUAGGGGAUCGAAGACGAUCAGAUACCGUCGUAGUCUUAACUAUAAACUAUGCCGACUAGGGAUCGGACGAUGUUAUAUUUUGACUCGUUCGGCACCUUUCGAGAAAUCAAAG
This 1021-nucleotide ribosomal RNA is filed under the name Ascosacculus thailandicus. RNAcentral describes it as "SSU rRNA". It matches the Rfam family "Eukaryotic small subunit ribosomal RNA", at positions 72 to 1103 of the family's 1831-position model. Lineage: Eukaryota; Fungi; Ascomycota; Sordariomycetes; Microascales; Halosphaeriaceae. The record is from RNAcentral.